GUUCUUACCUAGCAGGGGAGACACCGUGUUCACGAAGUUGUUUCCCCAGAUUGGGGCUUAUCCAUUGAGCUCUGGAUGUGCUGACCUGUGAUUUCUGCAAAUGCAGGAAACUGGACUGCAGAAUUCAUGGUAGAGGGAAUGUGUUUGUGGUCUUCCCC
This 158-nucleotide small nuclear RNA is filed under the name Chinchilla lanigera (long-tailed chinchilla). Its description in RNAcentral is "U1 spliceosomal RNA (ENSCLAG00000020128.1)". It matches the Rfam family "U1 spliceosomal RNA". Rfam says of the family: U1 is a small nuclear RNA (snRNA) component of the spliceosome (involved in pre-mRNA splicing). The record is from Rfam by way of RNAcentral. Lineage: Eukaryota; Metazoa; Chordata; Mammalia; Rodentia; Chinchillidae.